RNAcentral lists this ribosomal RNA (923 nucleotides) under Quinqueserialis quinqueserialis. Its description in RNAcentral is "partial large subunit ribosomal RNA". It matches the Rfam family "Eukaryotic large subunit ribosomal RNA", at positions 405 to 932 of the family's 3401-position model. Lineage: Eukaryota; Metazoa; Platyhelminthes; Trematoda; Plagiorchiida; Notocotylidae. The record is from RNAcentral.
CCGCUCAGAGGUAAACGGGUGGAGUUGAACUGCGAACCCUGAGAAUUCAACUGGUGAGUGUGGUAUGAGCUUGGCAUGAAGGUUGGCUCUGCGGGUCUGCUUAGCUGCAGGUCUUCGCCUUUUGGUGGAGAUGCGCGAUACACUUGUCAAGUGGUGCGCGCUCGUUGAGUUUCUCGGACAUACUUGCCAGUGCACUUUCUCGGGGUGUUCACCACGACCGGCGCCGCUACUUGUCCAAUAUGGUUAAACCGGUCUUGCUUGGUCCCUGUGGCUUUGCUUGAUCGGGAUGGCAGGUAACUCGUUGACUUGUGUGUUGACCUCGGUUGGCAUGCGCUUGGUUUUCGAGUGUAAUCAGCUGACUGUAUUGGUGCUAUGUGGUGCGUCGGAGACGGCGGCUUGUGGUGUGUGCCUGCGUGCCUAUUUGCUGACGGAACCGGGUUUGGUUAUUAUGUUGCCUGUUUUGCAGGCCUGGUGAUGGCUCGGUUUCGCUUGGUGGAUGGGAGCGUGGGUGACACUUAUCAGGGCCUAUAGUCUGUGGUGUUGUGGUAGACUAUCCACCUGACCCGUCUUGAAACACGGACCAAGGAGAGUAACAUGUGCGCGAGUCAUGGGGUGUUACGAAACCCAAAGGCGAAGUGAAAGUAAAGACUUGACUUGUUCGAGUUGAGGUGAGAUCCUGUCGUUUCUCAUGCGCGGUACUUCCAAGCAUUCGAGCGAUGGGCGCAUCACCGGCCCGUCCCAUGGUGUGGUCACUGUCUUCGGAUUGGUGCGUCACCGGGGCGGAGCAUGAGCGCACAUGUUGAGACCCGAAAGAUGGUGAACUAUGCUUGCGCAGGUUGAAGCCAGAGGAAACUCUGGUGGAGGACCGUAGCGAUUCUGACGUGCAAAUCGAUCGUCAAACGUGAGUAUAGGGGCGAAAGACU